This 1945-nucleotide ribosomal RNA is filed under the name human gut metagenome. RNAcentral's name for it is "bacterial LSU rRNA". It matches the Rfam family "Bacterial large subunit ribosomal RNA", at positions 1 to 1984 of the family's 2925-position model. The record is from RNAcentral.
UUAAAGUAGUAAGGGCGCAGGGUGGAUGCCUUGGCACUAAGAGCCGAUGAAAGACGUGAUAAGCUGCGAAAAGCUUCGGGGAGGAGCACAUAUCCAAUGAUCCGGAGAUAUCUGAAUGGGGAAACCCGGCAGAGGAAACCUCUGUCAGCGUGCAGUGAAUACAUAGCUGUACGUGGGGAACCCGGGGAACUGAAACAUCUAAGUACCCGGAGGAAGAGAAAGAAAAUUUAUCGAUUUCCAAAGUAGCGGCGAGCGAAAUGGAAAGAGCCCAAACCGUGAUGCGUGCAUCGCGGGGUUCGGACUGCGUUGUGGCAGACGUAAGAUAGGAGAACGGACUGGGAAGUCCGGCCGGAGAGAGUGAAAGCCUCGUAUCCGAAAUCCCAAGUCGCCUAGCAGGAUCCAGAGUAGGACGAGACACGAGAAACCUUGUCUGAACGAGCGGGGACCACCCCGUAAGGCUAAAUACUUCUUAGUGACCGAUAGCGCAUAGUACUGUGAAGGAAAGGUGAAAAGUACCCCGGGAGGGGAGUGAAAGAGAACCUGAAACCCUGUGUCUACAAGCUGUGGGACCUCUUUAUAUGAGGGACUGCGUACUUUUUGUAGAACGGUCCGGCGAGUUGUGCGUACUGGCGAGGUUAAGGACUUAAGGUCUGGAGCCGAAGUGAAAGCAAGCGUUAAUAGCGCGUCAAGUCAGUGAGUGCAGACCCGAAACCGGGUGACCUAUCCAUGUCCAGGUUGAAGCUUCCGUAAGAGGAAGUGGAGGACCGAACCCACAUCCGUUGAAAAGGGUGGGGAUGAGGUGUGGAUAGCGGAGAAAUUCCAAUCGAACCCGGAGAUAGCUGGUUCUCCUCGAAAUAGCUUUAGGGCUAGCCUCAUGAGAGUCUUAUGGAGGUAGAGCACUGAAUUGCCUAGGGGGCGUCAAAGCUUACCAAAGCAUAUCAAACUCCGAAUGCCAUCAAGAUGAUUCAUGGGAGUCAGACCAUACGAGAUAAGUUGGAUGGUCAAAAGGGAAAGAGCCCAGACCUACAGCUAAGGUCCCAAAGUACGUGUUAAGUGGAAAAGGAUGUGGGGAUUCUAAGACAACUAGGACGUUGGCUUAGAAGCAGCCAUUCAUUGAAAGAGUGCGUAAUAGCUCACUAGUCGAGAGUCCCUGCGCCGAAAAUGUCCGGGGCUGAAACACGACACCGAAGCUUAGGAAUGUGUAAACAUUGGUAGAGGAGCAUUGCUGGCGGGAUGAAGCCAUACCGUAAGGAGUGGUGGACUGCCAGGAAGAGAGAAUGCCGGAAUGAGUAGCGAGAUGAAGGUGAGAAUCCUUCAGGCCGAAUAUCUAAGGUUUCCAGAGUAAAGCUGAUCUGCUCUGGGUAAGUCGGGACCUAAGGCGAGGUCGAAAGACGUAGUCGAUGGAUAACAGGUUGAAAUUCCUGUACCGCAUAUAAACAGAACUGUGGGGACACAGACAGGGAAUGGAAUCCGGGAAUGGAAAUCCCGGUGCAAGCGAGGUAGGAGUGCUGUUGGCAAAUCCGCAGCACGAUCUGAAGACGUGACGCGUACCGAACAUAAGUAGGGAAGUCCAGGCCCCUGGCUGUCAAGAAAAGCCGCUAUUGUUUUAUAUGUGCCCGUACCGCAAACCGACACAGGUGGAUGAGGAGAGAAUCCUAAGGCCGACGGGAGAAGUAUUGUUAAGGAACUCGGCAAAAUGACUCCGUAACUUCGGGAGAAGGAGUGCCAUGAGAGUGGCCGCAGAGAAAUGGCCCAAGCAACUGUUUAGCAAAAACACAGGUCUAUGCAAAACCGCAAGGUGAAGUAUAUGGGCUGACGCCUGCCCGGUGCUGGAAGGUUAAGGGGAGAGGUUAGCGCAAGCGAAGCUUUGAACUUAAGCCCCAGUAAACGGCGGCCGUAACUAUAACGGUCCUAAGGUAGCGAAAUUCCUUGUCGGGUAAGUUCC